Molecule: ribosomal RNA, 251 nt
Filed under: uncultured bacterium
Lineage: Bacteria
Description: partial 16S ribosomal RNA
Rfam family: Bacterial small subunit ribosomal RNA
Source: RNAcentral
UACGUAGGCAGCGAGCGUUGUUCGGAGUUACUGGGCGUAAAGGGUGUGUAGGCGGCCUGUUAAGUUUGGUGUGAAAUCUCCCGGCUCAACCGGGAGGGUGCGCCGAAAACUGGGAGGCUAGAGUGCGGGAUGGGAGAGUGGAAUUCCUGGUGUAGCGGUGAAAUGCGUAUAUCAGGAGGAACACCGGUGGUGCAGACGGCUCUCUGGACCGUAACUGACGCUGAGACACGAAGGCGUGGGUAGCAAACAGG